Molecule: ribosomal RNA, 2004 nt
Filed under: Triticum aestivum (bread wheat)
Lineage: Eukaryota; Viridiplantae; Streptophyta; Magnoliopsida; Poales; Poaceae
Description: partial small subunit ribosomal RNA
Source: RNAcentral
AUGCGUCCCCCAAAUCAACCGCCGCCGCCGGCGGCGGUCGAGCGCAUCUAUAAGCCCACAAGCUGCGAACCGCGGCUCGAGGAUCAACGUCGGGAGAGAUCGGAGCUUCACAAGAAGAUCGCCGACUCGUAUGAUCAUGUCCGCAAGCGGCUCGCCAUGGCCACGGCAUUCAAGGAUGAGACCUUCGUCGGCGCCGGCCUCUCCGUUGGCCUUCUCGACCCGGCCACGAACAUCAUCUACAACACCCUCACCGCCUCCGACCUCCGCGCCGGCGAGACCCGGGGCGUUCUUCAGCACCGGGACAUGGCCGAGCGCUCCCUGGCCGGCCUCGUCGCCUUCCUCACCUCCUUCUUCCGCUACCUCGCGGAGUGGGAGGCCGUGCGCUACCUGCUCCGCGCCGACACCGACCUCGUCUACGCGAUGCGCCUCGUCGCGCACAACCGGUGCCUCUCCUCCUUCCAAAUCAACUCUGACACCGGCAGGUCCGUCGUCCGCACCGCCCUCACCUGCGCGGCGCUGGCCUCGAAGCACAUGGAUCCCCACCACCUCGUCCGCUCCUGGCUGUCGCCGGUUCGCCCUCUGGAAGAAGCCGUCCACGCGAUCCAGAAUGACAUCAGUAAUUUCACCUGUGUAUUCAACCCACUGCAUCAUGCUCGCAAGCGCCCUCGUAUGACAAUGCAGCCCCUUGAUUUCGCUUGGAGGCGCGCAUUGGAGCUCCCUGAGUUACCACCCUCCGUCGUGCCGUAUCGACCUUACAAUUCCAUGAAGUUUGUGCUCCUCCAGCGCAUCCACUCCUUCUACCUGAAGGCACUUGCCCUGCUUCCGGCGAGUGAGCUCCGGUCUUCCUACCACCACAGCAUGCUCGAGGCUGGCCACUGCUAUGGCCCAUUCGAUCCCGUCGCCAACAUCAUCAUCAACACAAUCUGGUAUAACACCGUCUCCCCGCCAACCAAAAAACUUGAGCUUGACAUGAUCAGUACCAAUAGCCUGUUACGCAUCGAGGCUCGCUCCUUCUAUGGCCUUGUUUCUUUCCUCUGCACUUCGGGCAAGAAACUCUAUGAAGCCAUGCGCUUCUUGCUCAUUUCUGAUUGCACUCUUGGGGAUAUGAGCUUUCCGAACGCUUUGGCUGGCUAUGGGGAUCGAAGCAAAAUUUGUGAUGCCUUCAGGGUUGCUGGUGUGGCUGCUUGGCACCCCGACCCUGUCGCGCAAGCAGAGUUUAUUUCCUCAUGCAGUUAUCCAUUCUCAAGUCCGACGAUUACUGCUCCACUCGACUCUGCUGAUGUUGACCGCAUUACCAGAAAGAUGUUUCAAGGGCUCCCUACCACCCCUGGCAAUUCGCUGCGGCAUCAAUCUGUUCCCAUGCACAAGAUCUGCCGUCGUGCUCAAUGUAAAAUUGACCAAUGGAUGCACGAGUAUACAACAGUCUCUAAGAAAGUCAAAGCAGUGCUGGCCUCAUAUGCACUCGCCUCAUACAGAGAACCCAUGUAUCUUCAUGUUAUUUGUGGCGUCAACCAUAAUGUGUCUGGCCCCGAGUACUGUUAUGAUACUGGCACACCCGUUUCCAUAUACCAACACACUCAUGUUAAUUUUCUGGCAAGUCGAAGAGAUGGAAAUCCAGAACUCUUCUUUGCUGAACUUAGCAAUGACGAGGCAGACGAUGGAGGUGGGAAGGUCUUGUGUUGUCCUGUGAAUUUUCCACAACCACGACAAGAAGAGAUCCGCUGUCUGUACUGCGAUUACGAAGGCACCAAAAUCGUGCACCCGGUUAUGGAGGAAUUCCCAUUCAAAGGGCGCGACGUGGAGUUUCAGAAGAUGGUGUGUGGAAUAGAUCCCUACCAAGAUGAAGCAUCUCCAUACGAGCGGCAGCGCUACACCAACUGCACUAUCAUCAGGAGCUCGUCCAAGGCAUUAGAUUGGUUGGGAUAUGUGGUAGAUGACUGGAUCUAUACCGACUUUGACGAGGAAGAUGACAGUGAUGAUUGUAGUACUGACGAAUCUGAGUGA